This 389-nucleotide ribosomal RNA is filed under the name uncultured bacterium. RNAcentral's name for it is "bacterial SSU rRNA". It matches the Rfam family "Bacterial small subunit ribosomal RNA", at positions 419 to 793 of the family's 1533-position model. The record is from RNAcentral.
CGGGUUGUAAAGCACUUUCAGUAGGGAGGAAGGUAGUGUAGUUAACACCUGCAUUAUUUGACGUUACCUACAGAAGAAGCACCGGCUAACUCCGUGCCAGCAGCCGCGGUAAUACGGAGGGUGCGAGCGUUAAUCGGAAUUACUGGGCGUAAAGCGCAUGCAGGCGGCCUGUUAAGUCAGAUGUGAAAGACCCGGGGCGUUAACCUCGGAAUUGCAUUUGUAAACUGGCAGGCUAGAGUCUUGUAGAGGGGGGUAGGAAGUUUCAGGUGUAGCGGUGAAAUAGCGUAGAGAUCUGAAGGAAUACCAGUGGCGAAGGCGGCCCCCUCGGACAAAGACUGACGCUCAGAUGCGAAAGCGUGGGGAGCAAACAGGAUUAGAUACCCUGGUAG